This 87-nucleotide non-coding RNA is filed under the name Compsopogon caeruleus. The record is from RNAcentral. Lineage: Eukaryota; Rhodophyta; Compsopogonophyceae; Compsopogonales; Compsopogonaceae.
UUUCUUUUUCUGUUUUCUUUUUUCUUUCUUCUUUUUUCUUUUCUGGAUGUUUAAUUUGUCGAACCGCAAAACAAUGGGAGGGCAAGG